This 460-nucleotide ribosomal RNA is filed under the name uncultured bacterium. RNAcentral describes it as "partial 16S ribosomal RNA". It matches the Rfam family "Bacterial small subunit ribosomal RNA", at positions 338 to 795 of the family's 1533-position model. The record is from RNAcentral.
CCUACGGGCGGCAGCAGUGAGGAAUAUUGGUCAAUGGCCGUAAGGCUGAACCAGCCAAGUCGCGUGAAGGAAGAAGGAUCUAUGGUUUUUAAACUCCUUUUAUAGGGGAAUAAAGGUAUCCACGUGUGGCUAUUUGCAUUUACCCUAUGAAUAAGCAUCGGCUAACUCCGUGCCAGCAGCCGCGGUAAUACGGAGGAUGCGAGCGUUAUCCGGAUUUAUUGGGUUUAAAGGGUUCGUAGGUUGUUUGUUAAGUCAGCGGUGAAAGUUUGUGGCUCAACCAUAAAAUUGCAGUUGAAACUGGAAGACUUGAGUGUGUUUGAGGGAGGCGGAAUGCGUGGUGUAGCGGUGAAAUGCAUAGAUAUCACGCAGAACUCCGAUUGCGAAGGCAGCUUACUAAGCCAUAACUGACACUGAAGCACGAAAGCGUGGGGAUCAAACAGGAUUAGAUACCCGAGUAGUC